CAGUGAUAUCUCCUUACCGUUAUCAAUGGAGGCACUCGGCUAUGCCGUAAGUGGGGAUGAUGACGGUCCUGCCAUCUUAGACGCUAGUCGGCGAGAUGUAGUGUGAGGGCGGGUUAGAGGCCCG
Geobacillus sp. Y4.1MC1 is the source of this 124-nucleotide non-coding RNA. The record is from Rfam. Lineage: Bacteria; Bacillati; Bacillota; Bacilli; Caryophanales; Anoxybacillaceae.